RNAcentral lists this ribosomal RNA (1492 nucleotides) under uncultured bacterium. RNAcentral's name for it is "bacterial SSU rRNA". It matches the Rfam family "Bacterial small subunit ribosomal RNA". The record is from RNAcentral.
GAGAGUUUGAUCCUGGCUCAGGAUGAACGCUAGCUACAGGCUUAACACAUGCAAGUCGAGGGGCAGCAUUUUAGUUUGCUUGCAAACUAAAGAUGGCGACCGGCGCACGGGUGAGUAACACGUAUCCAACCUGCCGAUAACUCGGGGAUAGCCUUUCGAAAGAAAGAUUAAUAUCCGAUAGUAUAUUAAAACCGCAUGGUUUUACUAUUAAAGAAUUUCGGUUAUCGAUGGGGAUGCGUUCCAUUAGUUUGUUGGCGGGGUAACGGCCCACCAAGACUACGAUGGAUAGGGGUUCUGAGAGGAAGGUCCCCCACAUUGGAACUGAGACACGGUCCAAACUCCUACGGGAGGCAGCAGUGAGGAAUAUUGGUCAAUGGACGAGAGUCUGAACCAGCCAAGUAGCGUGAAGGAUGACUGCCCUAUGGGUUGUAAACUUCUUUUAUAUGGGAAUAAAGUAUUCCACGUGUGGGAUUUUGUAUGUACCAUAUGAAUAAGGAUCGGCUAACUCCGUGCCAGCAGCCGCGGUAAUACGGAGGAUCCGAGCGUUAUCCGGACUUAUUGGGUUUAAAGGGAGCGUAGGUGGAUUGUUAAGUCAGUUGUGAAAGUUUGCGGCUCAACCGUAAAAUUGCAGUUGAAACUGGCAGUCUUGAGUACAGUAGAGGUGGGCGGAAUUCGUGGUGUAGCGGUGAAAUGCUUAGAUAUCACGAAGAACUCCGAUUGCGAAGGCAGCUCACUAGACUGCAACUGACACUGAUGCUCGAAAGUGUGGGUAUCAAACAGGAUUAGAUACCCUGGUAGUCCACACAGUAAACGAUGAAUACUCGCUGUUUGCGAUAUACAGUAAGCGGCCAAGCGAAAGCAUUAAGUAUUCCACCUGGGGAGUACGCCGGCAACGGUGAAACUCAAAGGAAUUGACGGGGGCCCGCACAAGCGGAGGAACAUGUGGUUUAAUUCGAUGAUACGCGAGGAACCUUACCCGGGCUUAAAUUGCAUUUGAAUAAUCUGGAAACAGGUUAGCCGCAAGGCAAAUGUGAAGGUGCUGCAUGGUUGUCGUCAGCUCGUGCCGUGAGGUGUCGGCUUAAGUGCCAUAACGAGCGCAACCCUUAUCUUUAGUUACUAACAGGUCAUGCUGAGGACUCUAGAGAGACUGCCGUCGUAAGAUGUGAGGAAGGUGGGGAUGACGUCAAAUCAGCACGGCCCUUACGUCCGGGGCUACACACGUGUUACAAUGGGGGGUACAGAAGGCAGCUACCUGGUGACAGGAUGCUAAUCCCAAAAACCUCUCUCAGUUCGGAUCGAAGUCUGCAACCCGACUUCGUGAAGCUGGAUUCGCUAGUAAUCGCGCAUCAGCCAUGGCGCGGUGAAUACGUUCCCGGGCCUUGUACACACCGCCCGUCAAGCCAUGAAAGCCGGGGGUACCUGAAGUACGUAACCGCAAGGAGCGUCCUAGGGUAAAACUGGUAAUUGGGGCUAAGUCGUAACAAGGUAGCCG